Molecule: long non-coding RNA, 2497 nt
Organism: Numida meleagris (helmeted guineafowl)
Lineage: Eukaryota; Metazoa; Chordata; Aves; Galliformes; Numididae
Source: Ensembl
CUUUUUCCUAAGGGAAAUAAGACUGCUCUUGGAAGCUACCUCCAUACCAUUUGUGCGGAGUAUUUUCUAAGAUGUGGCUGUGUCAGUAACUCAUAGGGCCCAAAGGGGCUUUCCCUGCAGCAUUCACCAUUGUGAGAUAUCAGGAGCCAGAGCGCAGGUAUGUGGAGUCACAGACACAGGGAUGGCUGAAACAUUUUCCCAUAAAAAACAUCCAUGUGUGGUUUUGUUUUUCUGUGUUUGCCAGGAUAUAAUCACUAUUUGAUGCACGCAAUUGCCAACAUGGCUUCUUUUCUCAAAAUAAAAUAAAAUGGUCCCAGAGGAAAAAGGAUUUACAAGUAAUGUUGAGUCCAGGAGAGCAGUUCUGGAUCCUGCUGCUGGUCUGGUGGUGACCCAGCCUGAGCCACAUUCCUGCAUGGGGCAACAGUUACUGCAACUGUAGCACAGGGCUAGUGAUAACUGAAACCCCCAGAAAAGCACCUGGAGAUACAGCAGCAAAAUCAAAAGGGUCAUCGUGUGAGAUAAAGAACCACCACUUGAACUCAUCUGACUUCACUCCAGCCCUGUGCUUAACCCCUUGUGACCGUGUUUUCCCUCCCUUUCCUAAGCAGGUGAGCCUGGGGAGCAGAAAAAUUAAGAUAUUUCCUUCUCACACAGAAACCACACAUCCCUCCCUCCUCCUUGUGUGGAACAAAGUACUUUCAGAGGGUGACUUUGGCUCCUUGGUUUGUUUCUCUUUUCUUUUUUUUUCCAGUCUUCACCUGAAAACUAUCCACUAUUUGUCACCUGAGAAGUAUCUGAAAUAUUCUAGACAGAAGUGUUUGUAUGAGAUUCCAUAGUUAAGUUUGGAAGGUCUGAAGUGGAAACAUUUCUUGGCUCACAGAAAUUUGACUCCAAUUUUCGUAGUAUAUAUAUAUUAAAAGCUUCUCAGCCUGUAGGAAGCACUGAAAUUAAUACAGGCUUGCACUGUAAGGCGUCUUUUAUUCAAUUAGAACACAUACCAUGUUAACAUUCUUCAGUGUUGUCAUAAUUCCUUCUUAUUUUUCAGUGAGAAUUAACUUGUCAGCUGUGAAGUAGGUUCUAAUUUGUUCAUAAAUCAUUUUGCUGCGGGCUAAAAUGUGACAGAGUGUAGGUAAACACAAUUUAUCCGGAAAAAAAAAAAAAAAAGACAACUAUAUCAUCAGGUCUCCGAUGUCUCCAGUUUACAUAUCAAGGUUCUCCAGAUCCCCUUACGUUGUGCUACUGCGUCGUUCAGGCAAGAGAUCGGCACGAGGCUGAGAACAACACCCAAAUCAAUAAUGGGACCAUUUCAAAAUCUGACAAGGGAUUAAUGAGCAAUUCAGAUUUCUGCUUCGCCCUUGGAUCACACCGGCUCUUUCUCACCUUUGUGACUACAGGAUGUUCAGGAUGAUGACCUGACCCUGCAAACCGUACAGAUGUGGGUGAGCUCUGUUCCUGGGCACAGCUGGCGUUCACCCUGGAGCGGCCACUCCAUUCUCUCUUGCAUUUCAAACAUCCCUCACUGUGGCGAGGCUGUUGAUUUGCUAUUGCAGUUGAAAAUUUUUGACAGGUGACUCAUCCCUGCUCUAGCAAUAUGCUGCGUUUGAUCAUCGAGUCCUAGAGGGCUUUUAGCAAGCAAUUAGGAGGUGGAUGUGAAAAUAAUUUGUACGUUUGUCUGUUUGUUGUUUGUCUCCAGCUCUCCUGUAAUCAGUUACCUCUCUGCCUUCCGCUGUGGGCAGGAGGGGCCCAAGAAAUUCGGUUGUCAUGGGAGAGGGCUGUUCGGGGCUGUUGGGAGCUGUCGUGCUGCUACUUGUCCACAUCCCCAACGAAAAGCUCUCCACUAAUAAUUACCACAUCACUGCAAACAGACUGAGGAGAGACAUGAUGUAAAAAUUAAAUUACUUAAAACAUUUUUUGGGCUAACACUCGGCUUUAUAUAAACUCAGAGACAAUCCUAUAAGGCACUCAGGGCAGAUUAUAGGUUUGGGCAAAGCUAGAAAAUUGCUGCCAUUAUAUUGUUAUUAUUAACACCUUGUAAUUAGCCCUAAGGAAUCCUGAAGUUCUCUCUCCUGAUUUGGCUUUAAUGAAGGAAAAUUGCUACCUUUGCAAGUUGGAUGGCGCCCGCUCUGAUUAAUCUUAAGUAUAUAGGACUAUUAUUUUGAAAAUGUUUGUUGUCAUGUGAAUAUUAGUAUUGCAUGUAAAGGGGGGGGGGGAGUGCAGUGGGCUCUUCUCUCUCUUGGCUGUGAUGAGUCACAUGUUCACUUUAGUUACGGUCAUUCCCUUCAAGAUAGAGAAUGGAAACCUUGAGAAGAUAUCCCGACCACAAGCUAAUGAAUUCAGGAGGAUCCUGUGGCAAGGGCUGCCAGCUGCCCUACUGGCUGAUUGCAUUGGCUGAUGGAGUAAUUGUUGCAUGGAGAUAGUUUUAUGAUUGCUUUGAGAGUCUGAAUGAGAUCAUGCAUGAGUUAGCACACUAAGUGCAAUAAAAAUGAUUUUAUUUGCA